This 76-nucleotide transfer RNA is filed under the name Burkholderiales bacterium. RNAcentral describes it as "tRNA-Thr". It matches the Rfam family "tRNA". From Rfam's summary of the family: Transfer RNA (tRNA) molecules are approximately 80 nucleotides in length. Their secondary structure includes four short double-helical elements and three loops (D, anti-codon, and T loops). The record is from RNAcentral. RNAcentral also lists the same sequence under 1 other name. Lineage: Bacteria; Pseudomonadati; Pseudomonadota; Betaproteobacteria; Burkholderiales.
GCCCUGGUAGCUCAACUGGCAGAGCACCCGCCUUGUAAGCGGGAGGUUACCGGUUCGAUUCCGGUCCGGGGCUCCA